RNAcentral lists this long non-coding RNA (17246 nucleotides) under Phaseolus vulgaris (common bean). RNAcentral describes it as "long non-coding RNA (PVUL_LNC000816)". Lineage: Eukaryota; Viridiplantae; Streptophyta; Magnoliopsida; Fabales; Fabaceae. The record is from RNAcentral.
AUCACUGUACGCUCUUACGCCGUACAAAUUCUUCUAAAUGUAAUUCCCUGGUUCUGGCUAUAUAAAAGACAUACAGUAUAAUCUGGAUAUUAGUUUUAGAUGGACAAGAUCAAGAACUUGAAGACUAAGAAUAACUGCUAUAUCAAAAAGAGAAAACUAUAUUCAAACUUGACUAAAAAAAUAAAGAGAGAAACUGGUAAAAUAAUUGGAUCUUGCCUCUGAAACUCCAUCUAGAGCAGGGUGAUGAAACCUGGUAUUUGAUUACAUGCAUUCACUAGCCUAAGAUCUAGUAUAACAUAAUUAUAAAAAAAAUUACUGUCACUUGUUAAUGUUUCUCCUAAACUCCUAAUGGUACUAGGAGAUCCAAAGCACAACAUGAGUUAGAUAAAAGGAAACACUUCACACGUUUUGAAAGGUUAGAGCUUGAGACUUUCCUUGUUUUUCAUAUCCUUUUGAGGCCCACCCUUCACUGUCAAAGUUCUUGGAUAGUUCUUCUCUUUGUUUUCACUGACUUGGGCUAGAAUCUUGUCAGGUUUAUCUGGUUACUUUUUGAGUUGGUGAUGCUGAUUUUUCAUUUUCUUGGGAAAAAUAAUUGAACUCUUUCUUGUUUCCAAAAAUCCUUCAUGUCCUGCAAAUUUAAAGGACCAAAAAAUACUGUUAGACUCAAACUUGCAACAAAACAAAGAAUAACAUAAAGCAAAAUACAAGUAAAUUUAAUAUAGACAAACCUUUGACUUAGCAGUAUAACAAAUCUUGGCCAUCUUAACUUCUCUGUUUUUCUCUUCUUUUUCCUUCAGUUAUUUUCCCUUCAAUGUCCUUUUUACUACCUGCUUCUCUAGAAAGACGUGCAUAUCAUAGUAAACCAGAUUUAGCUCACAGUCCAAGAGAGACACAUGUAAUUCAAAUUUUAUUCUUCACGAAUCUAUAAUGCAACUCCUGACCCCCUAAACUCAAUUACUCGACCCAGAACAUAAUAAUGGAAGCAAAACACACACAAAUCAUCCAAAGAAAAUUUUCCAAUUUAGAAAAAAACAGUUAACCAACACUCCCAGAACAGAGAAAACUAAUUAAAUGAUUAAAUUGUUGUACCCAAACUAUAAAUAUUUUUACAACUAAUCCCCCUUCUUUUAAAAAAUAUUCACCACUAGUAAUCCCCUAUACAUUUUUUCCCAGCCUAUGAUAUUGAAACCCUUUUACCACCAUUUCAACAUCUAUUUUCUUAUUCACGAAAAGUGGUAGAACAGGCACCCUAAAUACUAUGGGUGUCAACAACAUGCCCAGAGUGCCAACAAAAACCCUAACUAACUAAAUAACUACAAGCUGUUGUAUUGUAUCAACAAGUCUGUAUGCAUCAAAACAUCUUCUUCAAGAGGAUUGCCCACCAAGCGGGAAAAGUGAGAGUGAGGGGAUUCAAAUCCACACCUCGAAAAGGUGAAAGUUUGUUUGAGAUCCUCAUUCUGUAAUCACUUGCACGAACUCACUGUUGUCACCAACAAAUUGAUCGAUUAAACUAAGUUAUCGUCACUAGAAUUUUCACAACUAAAGAAAGAAACGCAAGUAAAGUGAAGGCUAAACAGAAAAAGGCUAAACUAAAUACCUGUUCGUGGCAAAGACAGAGACUUUGUGGUGGAGGAGAAGCACCCACAAGAGAGUCUUUGCAGUGGAACAAAAGCACCCAAAAGGGGUCCAUUAAACGGCACUCAUCUUGUUGCUCAGAUUUUUUCUUGCCACUUGUCAAUAUCAACAUCGGUGGCAACCAUGGUUUUACAUAGCAAGGUUAAAGCUUCUAAGACUGCAUGUGAUGGCAUCAGCCACAUUUUUCACAAUGUCAACGAUCAAGGAUAGCAAUAAACCACAACCUAUGGCAGUAACCCUUUGAUCAAUCUGAAUCUAUGUUUGUGCCUUCUAAAUUUGGAUUAUGUUCCUCCAUAGUGAUAUAAAAUGAAAGGCAGUUUCUUCCUGCACCCCCUGCAUUUUUCUUCUUGCAUCCCCCACAAUUUUAUAAAUUCUGAAACUAACUUUCACCUUUUAUUUCAAAUCGGGAUUUGAGAGUGUGUUACGGAUUCAUCAAUCCGAAAGUAAAUCAUGUUGUUUUCUAGAUGAGGGGUGUUCUGGAAGUAAAGUUUGCAUAAAUUGUUAAAUUCUGGAUUGCUGAAUCUGGAAGCCUAAUUUCUAUUACGGAUUGAUGGAUCUGGAAUGAUUUUUUUCACUUAUGAAUUUCUGAAACCGGAAUGCAUAUUUGGAAUUACGGAUCGGCAUACCCAGAAUGAUUUUUUUAAUUAUGAAUGUUCUUCAUUUUUAUUUUUUUUUGGAUUAACACUGUCAUUCAUGUAUUACUAGAAGCACCAAUCUAGGAGGUUACCGGAAGUGUCAAUCCAAAAAUUUACUGGAUUUAAUAAUCCGGAAUAAAAAAAAUAAAUGUAAUUUUUUAUAUAGGAACGAUUUUGUCUUUACACCGUGUACUGGAUUUGGUAAUCUAGAAUUAAAAAUAAAUAAAUGUAAUUUUUUAUAUAGAAACGAUUUUAUCUUUGAACAACAUUGUGGGGGAAGAAAGAAACUGCCAAAAUGAAAUUACAACAAAAAAGAGAAUUUUUUUUAUAGAGUUUUUAAGAAGAUAAAGAAGGAAAAAUGUAUUACAAUAAUAGAAGAUCAGAAUGAAAGUGAAGGAAUAUUUUGAGAUGUAUAUGAAGAGCACAGCAUUUGAUAAAAGGGAAAAUGAAACAAUUGAGUAACAUUAAUCUCAUUGACUAUUAAUAGGGCGUAGGAUUAGGAAAUAGUAAUAUGCAUGUUUAAAUCAUAUUUUAAUUUUAAGGGUUUAAGACUUAAUUUUGUUUUAAUUUAUAAAUUUAUCAUGGAUUGUUUUUAUUAAGUCCUUGACUUGAUAUACUUGGAUAUCCUUUUUACUUACACAUGUCACUUAUUUUUAUUUUUAUUUAAAAUAUAUAUUUUAUUGUCUACACCACCUUCCAAUUUAUAUAAUUAUUCAAUAUAUUUGUAAAAUCACUCUAUCAGUUUACAUUCUCACUCUUUUUCUCCUUUAUCUUUUUCUCUUAAAGUUUCGUCUUUUUUCAAUGAGUCUUAAACAUUGCAAGAGAUAACUCAAUUCUAAUAAUUAGAACGUUACAAUUGAAAUUUUCAUAAAUAAUAUUCAUGUAUAUGUAAUGACAUAAUAUUGAUUUAUAGAAAAUCACUAGCCAUUAAAUUUAGGAGAUUAUAUAUUGAUGUAAUUUGAAUGCAUAGUUAUACAUAAAUUAAUUGGAAGAGAAAAAAGUUACACACGCCUAAUAAAUCAUAUUUACGCACAUUUAUUAAAAAAAAAUAACUCAUUAAUUAUCUAUAAUUGGAUUCCCUAAUAUCUUCAAGUUAAAAUUAUGGAAGCUUGACAUGUGUCGGGUGAUAUUUUUAUAUGUAGCCAUUAUUAUUAUUAGAAUCUUACAAUUUAUGAUCGGAUCAUUUUGAUUUCAAUAUGAAUUUGGUAGGCAACCAUUCAUAUCAUAUGAUGGAUCAUAAAUAACUUCAAAUGUUACUAUAGAUGAACUAGAACAAUUUCAUAUCAAUUAUAGAAAUUACAUAAUUAUUUUAUUUUAUUUUUUACUUUUUUUCCACCAUUUUUUAUUAAAAUAGCCAAAAUGAUAGAUAAGUUCAAUAUAAAUUAUUCAAUGAAAGGAGAUAUAAGGUUGAUUUGGUGGAAAAAAGUUGAAGGGACGGAGAAACAAAUCCUGAGUUCAAAUCCCUAUUAAAAAAAUUAACAAGAAUUUCACAAUAUUAAGAAAAUUAAAACAAGAAUUUUACAAUGUUAAUUUUUUUUUUUAUUAUGUUAUAGUAUAUAAGUGAGUGAAUUUGUUUAGUAUUUAAUAGUCUGUGAUAAAAGAUACAUUGAACAAUGUUUCAUGAUUAAAUUUAUUAUAAAAUAAUGUGAUAUCCACUUUUUAUUUAAUUACUCAUUUUGAUAUUGUAAUUUGUAACAAGAUAUGAUUUUAAUACUUAUAUAUAUCAUAUAUAUAUGUUAACUAUUUUUAUUAUCUUUCACAAGAUAUGAUUUAUAUUUAAAAAUUAGUUAACAAUUCAUCAUUUGAAUUGAAAUUUCAUUGCUUUGGCUAUAAAUUUAAAAGUAUACAAUUUUGUUAUAUUGAAUUUUUUUUAUUUGUCGUCAAAAUUAAAUAUGUAUUUAUUUACUUCUUUAUUGAAGUCUAAUGUGCAUUUAUUUACCUCUUUAUCAAAAAUAUGUAUUUUUUGAUGGUUUGGGUGCUCAAUAAAGGUAUGAAUUGUGUGCAUCGUGACCCCAAAUAUUUGCUGCAUAUUUUCAAAGAUUCUCUGCACAAAUUCAGAGCAUACAAUCUUCAUGCAUAUCCACUCAUAACUGCCGUAUCAACCCAUUCAUUUUACUAUAAAUUUGUGUGAAUAUCUGCUACCCACAUUGGCUACCUAUUCUCUGUUCUCACCAUUUGAAACAAGAGAAAAUUUUUUGGUUCAACCAUGGCUUCUUCUUCCAAGAAAUAGAAAAAUAAGGGCAAGCAAACCACCUUUCAAGGUGUGCUAGAAGGUUAGUUCGCUGGAAAUGAAGAAGCAAUCAAUGCCUACAUUCACGAGACAAACAGAAAGCAGAUUAAUAUACCCAAGGUGCUAGAUUUCAACUGGCUGAAAUCUGAAAAAUUGGAAGAAACAAGGGCUGUGUUGAAGCACCAGAAACUGAAAAAGCUGUUGUAAUUAACGGGUAAUGUAUAUCCUGACUUGGUUAAGGUGUUUUACACUAACCUCACAUUGGAUGGAAAGAAUGUUGUCUCUUAUGUGAAAGGGACCAAGAUGAAGAUCACAAGUGAGGUGUGGAAUUCUGUGGCUGGAAUAAAGUAUGUUGGACUGAAAGUAGGAAAGGGAAACACCAGUGGAAUUCAAGAAUUCAACAAGCUGCAAUACUAUAAAAGCUGCAUGAGGAAUUCUACAGAGAGUAUAAGCAGGUUCCAUGCAUUUGAACCUCACUCCACGCCUUGUUGCCUACAUCAUAGCAUGGCAACUUAUCCCAAGAGGUACAAACCAUGCAGUUUUACAUGAAGAGGAUCUAAUUCUUCUAUAUUGCAUCAUGAACCAGAUUAAGGUAAAUUGGGUUUUCAUUAUCAAUGUACACAUGCUCAAAUAAAAAAGGUUGGCUGAUUACCGCUUUCCCUAUGCUAUUCUUGUUUCCAAAUUGAUUGAUUACUUUGGUGUUGAUGUUACAAAUGAGAGAAACGAUCCAAUCAAAGUUGUAAGUGAGAUUGAUAAUUCAACUCUCACCAAAAUGGGAUUUCACAAAAUUGAGGACAAGUGGGUGGUUCUUAAAGGAAAGGACCCUCAAACAGAACAUGAAGCAUCAAACCUCCACAAUGAGGAUGAGGAUGAAGUUGUUCCCAUGGAGGAUGACUCACCUGCUACCCAAUCUGUGCAUGAGGAAGUUGCUGCAAAUGCCAUAGUUGCCUAUCAAUCUCCAGAAUACUGAGGAGAACCAAUGUCUAUGUUUGAAAGGCAAGUGUUGUAUCGCCUUGAUGUAAUGACUACAGAACAAAGGGCAUACUUUGAAACUACUCAAGCAAGGUUUCAACACCUUGAUGAUCAGAUUGAAGGGGUUCAGGCACAACUUGCAGAGCUUUACUACAAGGAUCAGUAGUCUUCUGUUUUUCAUGCUUUCUUUAUUAGUUUAAAAGUCUGUAAUGAUGAACAAUUUGUCUCUAUCUUUUGGACUAUUAUGGUUAUGCUUCUGGUUUUUUUUCUAUGAUUACAUGCUGUUUGAUGAAUCCAAAGGGGAAGAAAAAUAGCUCACCAUGCUAGGUGAAGCUAGCUAAAACAGGGAGUUAAAUUCUACACCUUUAAACCAUUUUACAUGUUAUGCAAUGUUCUGUUUUUCUGGUUUAAUUUGUGGUGCAAUGCAGGUUUUUAAAGCAACAAGAGCUAUGGGGAUUUGUCUCCAUCAAACAGGGGGAGAUUGUUGAAGAUGGUUGCUGCCUCUUCAAGAUUGUGUUUGAUGAAGACUUUUAUGUACAUUUCAUGUGUAUUUUUGCUUUGCUUUAAGUGUGUCUUAGGUAGUGCUUAGAGGUUGUUUAAGAGUGGGUUUUUUGCUGAGUAACUCACCUCCUAACCACUGGCCAUGUGAUAAGAACAAGCAUAAGUUUUCUUAAACUGUUUUUCACAUGUUUUACAAAAAACACGUUUACUGCAUAAAAAUAAAUCUGUUCUUUUCUAAAUAAACAUAUUCUUUUUUAACUGAUGUCUUGGCUAAGUCUUGUGAAAAUUAGAUUUUGUGCAUCAUGUAUUUUGACUAAGUCUUCUACCUUUCAAAACGACUGUGUUUAAAUAGUUAAGCUUUUCUGUUUUCGUUUUGAAAAAUAAAUCUGUUCAUCUGUAAAUGAAUAGAUUCAUUUUGUCUCUGGUGUCAUAUCUAACUUAAACGUUUUUCAGUUUUAUCUCUGCACCAUAAUGGUUGACUAAGUCUUCUCACUUAACAAAUUCUCUAACUGCUUUUGAAAAUAAAUUUGUUCAUUUUAUUUUCAAUCUGUUCAUUUUAUAACAGCUUUAACUGUUUUUCAAAAUUCUGUUAUAAGUUGGUUUUCUAUAAAAUGAGAACUUGUUUCUGAGUUUAAACGUUGUUCAUACAUUUGUAAAAACAAGUUUUACAGCAGAGAAUUAAGAGUUUACAAAGAAUUAGCAUUUGUUCUUCAAAGAUUUCGAAAAUCACAAAGUGCUUGUUCUUGGUUUGGUUCCAAAAGCUUGGUGUGAGGUGUUGUUACUGUUCUAGCAAUCUUGCCUACUGGUUUAAGGCAGAUCUUUGUAUCAUCAAUCAGGUGUAGUCGUUUCACUUUUCACUUCUUGUAAUAGUUUGGUUGAACACUCUUCUUGAUAGGUUUUCUUGAAGAGUGUGUGUGAGCUAAAAUAGGUUUUUUCAGCAAGAGUACCUAAGUUCUUGUAGGUUUCAAGAACAGUGGGAAUUGUGUUUGUUUGUAUUGUGAUUUAGUGAUUUUCACCUUGGUUUAGGUGAAGACUGGAUGUAGCUCAGUUGAGUGAACCAGUAUAACUGCCUUGUGUUCAUUCUCCCUCAAUCUCUGCAAUUAAGUUUCUGCAUAAUUGAUAAAACAACAAAGAAAUAAAUCGGUUCAAUUAAAAAUAAAUCUGUUCUGUCUGGGCAUGGUUCAUAUUGUUCUUAAUUUUUGGAAAACUGGUUGAUUUCAAUAAGAACACUUAUAAUCUGUUAAAAGCCAUUAGAACAGGUUGAUUGUAAUAGAUCACUCAAUAAACUGUCAAGCCAUUAAUUGAACCUUAAUCACUUGCUUGAAAUUGAAGGUUGUUGUUUUGGUGAUUCACUGUUUUUCGUUCUAAUAUCAGUGUGUGAGCAUCUGGAAAAUAUAUCUGCAGAUCUUGUGAUUAACCUUGCUGCAUAAAAUCUUUUCAAACACACAAACAGUGCUAAAAUAAAUUUGUUCAUUCCCAUAUAAAUCGAUUUAUUUUCUGUAAACUGUGUUAAAUACUGUUUUUGCGAGAAGCUUUUAAAAGGUCAAUUCAACUCCCCUCUUGAACUUUGACACUAUUAAACCCAACACAUAUGACCAUUAGAAAGUAAAAGAGGUUGUCCCAAUAUAUACGAGAAGAAUUCAUUUUGAUUUAGUUAUACAUAUCUCAAGGUUCUAUGGAUUCUAUUUCUUUGGAAUUUGGUGUUGCUUAUAUUAGAAUAAGCUUGGAUUAGAUAACAUGAGUGUUAUUAGAGAUAUGAUUGCGUAGAGGUUGGUGUGAGAUGUCUAUGUUCAUGUCAGAAUACAACAAAGUUGUGGAUCAUUGAGUUAGGUCACGUCAAAAUCUCUUAAGCAAUUUGACAAGAACCUUUCAACAGAAAUACUCGAAGAUCGUGGGGUUGACAUAAAUCGUCUAUUUGAGAUGGAGGGAAAAUACAUCAAAGCAUUCAUUGAUAGGCACAAGGAGGAAGUUAGAUAAGCAAAAAAAAAACUCAUCGUAUUUUUUUAUAACUUCAGUUAUCAACAACUAUGAGUCAAAUCUUGAGAACUAUGAUGAUUGAAGACAUCUUCGAUCAGACAGACAUUUGAUGCAGAUAAAUGAAGAAUAUCGUUAAUUUUGUCUAUGGGUAAUCAUGAUUUUCUGAAAGUUAUGUCAUUCCUUGGUGUAAGUUAAGCAAUCAUAAAGAUGACUCCAAAGUUCAUAGAUUCUUACUAGAUUCUCAAGAGAAUAUGUUCAACUGCUCAUAAAAUUGUUUAUCUCUUUCGUUAACCAACAUUCUAUUAUGUCUUUCGUGUAUCGUAACUAAGGAAAUAUAUAUAAUUGGUCACAAUCAUAUUCUAAUGUCUAAUUUAGUUUAAUAAAAAGUAUCUUUUAAAGUGAAGUCAAUUAAAAUUUUGGAUUCUCAAGUAAGGUAACUUCGUGGUAGAAAUAUCGACAAAGUCAAAGUACUGCGAAAUCUCAUAUGAUGUGAUUCCACAUGAAAAAUAAAAGAAUAAUAUCCUAAUAUUUCUUGGUAAGCUAAUUUUCGAGGACGAAAUUUUUUUUAUUAGGGAUAAUUGUAAGACCCAAAAGCGAAAGACCCCCUCCCCCCUUCAUUUUCUCAUCCCACACUUUCUCUCUCCCUCUCCCUUCUCUCUUCAAUUUCUCUCCCAUAUCUCAUCCAUUCCAAAAUCUGAUCACGACAUGUGGUAGCUGAGGAGUCAUGGUACAUUUCUACCCGAUCAGAUUUUCAAACAGAGUAAGUUCAUUUUUUACUCUAAAGAUCGUGGUAGAAAUAUCGACAAAGUCAAAGUACUGCGAAAUCUCAUAUGAUGUGAUUCCACAUGAAAAAUAAAAGAAUAAUAUCCUAAUAUUUCUUGGUAAGCUAAUUUUCGAGGACGAAAAUUUUUUUAUUAGGGAUAAUUGUAAGACCCAAAAGCGAAAGACCCCCUCCCCCCUUCAUUUUCUCAUCCCACACUUUCUCUCUCCCUCUCCCUUCUCUCUUCAAUUUCUCUCCCAUAUCUCAUCCAUUCCAAAAUCUGAUCACGACAUGUGGUAGCUGAGGAGUCAUGGUACAUUUCUACCCGAUCAGAUUUUCAAACAGAGUAAGUUCAUUUUUUACUCUAAAGAUCCCUCAUUCUCUGUUUUUCUAUAUGAUUUAGUCAUCAAUCUUAGUGAGACCAGUUGAGAAAAGUGUUUCUCUCAACUUGAUUAAGCUCAUACUAAAAUUUGGUAAUGUUUGAAUAACUUGCUUUAGGUUCCUAAAUUUUGAAGUGAUUCCCUUGUUUGAGGUAGAAUUUCCAUAAGUGAAAUUUAAGGUAAAGAAAACUAACUUUAACUUUCAAUAAUAUCCUAGACUAGAAGAUUUGAAUGUGGAUGAAACGUGAUCCCAAAUUUCAAUUUCUCUUGUAGGAAUGUUAGUUGAUAAAAUUGUUUGAUUUUAUGUUGUGUGAACAUGUAUAAAUAUUAUAUUUUGAUAGUUAAACUCCGAGAAGAACAUUAAAUUCAUCUGCAUAACUGCUGGAAACCCUCCCUUGCUCUCCAAGAAAGUCAUCUAAACAUAUUUUUCACAAUGAAAUCAUCUUGAAAUCUUUGCUCCUUCAACAAACUAUUCUUUUACAGAAGUAAAACAUCUUCAAAUUAACUUCAAUCUAUAUCAAUCCAAUUUCAAAGUUAUAAUCUCGAUCUGAACUUCCAUCAUCUUAUUGUUUUUAAUCUGUGAAAAAAAAAUGCUUACCAUUGAUUACUUUCAAUGAGUAAAAUCAAAUGAUUAACUGAUUUCUACUCAUGCAUACAUAAAAAGCAUUCAGUAAAUCCCACUAAAAGAAACUCUAGUAACUUGCAUUCAUUAUAUUGCAUGAUUUUCUAAUUUGGUAAGAAACAAUGUUAAGCUACACUCCUAAGCUGCAACACAAUUAAAAGAUUGUCCUCUCUAACCCCGUAAGUAUGGUUUUAAUCAUGCCUAAUAGUCAUGUUAAAACUUAUAUCAUGCUGACUUUUAUUCCAAAAUUAAAUCAAUUUUUGGUUUUGUAGAGGAAACAAAAACUGUUUCGUCUGAAGCUUGCAAAAUCAUAUACCUUAAACAAUUGGUAAAGGUAAAAUUCUAAGAUGUCAAAAGAACUAACCUAUGGGUGCUUUUCUAAUUUCAAUAUCGACAAAUUACAAUGCAUUGAAAGCAACUACUACACAGAAAGUCUUAGUUAACCAUUUUCAAGUGCAGGUUCAAUCCAUCGAGUAGAUGAUACACAGGCAUCAAAUCUGGGCAAGGAUCAUACCCUGCGAAGAACCUAUGCAUGGAGCCACCUAAGUCAACACAACUCUCUCCAGCCAUCUUCUUCAUUCCUCCAUCUCUCAUCACCCUCCUCACAUUUGCUGCUUUCUCCCACAUACCCCCUUCAGCGUACAUGUUAGCAACAAUAACCAAAUUCCCCCCCCUCCUUGGCUCCAUCCAAAGUAACCUUUUCCUCACUCUUUCUCCAAUCCCUGCAUGGUCAUGAACAUCAUGUACAAUGCAUGCACUUAGCAAUGUCCUCCACACAACCGGGUCAGGCUCAAUAGGCAUCCUCUGUAUAAACCCAUAAGCUUCUUCAAGACGGCCAGCGCGGCUCAAUACAUCAACCAUGACUCCAUAAUGCAUCAUCAUGGGCUUGAUCCCAUGCACACAUUUCAUGUCAUGAAAAUAUUGGUAACCCUCAUCUACCAUUCCAGCAUGGCUACAAGCACAAAGAACCCCAAGAUAGGUCACAUAAUUUGGGCAUAUAUCAUGAUUGUUAUUGCUACUCAUCAUUGCAAACAGCGCAAGGGCUUUCUCAGCAAACCCGUGCUGAGCCAACCCCAAUAUCAUUGCACUCCAUGUCCACACAUUCCUCCUUUCCAUUCUCUCAAAAACAGACCUUGCAUAGCCCAAGGCCCCAGACUUCCCAUACAUUUCAACAAGAGCAGUACCCAAUUGAACACUCAGAACCAUCCCUCUCAAAACCAAUUGAGAAUGAGCCCAUCUUCCCAAACUCAAGUACCCCAACUCAGCACAAGCAGAGAGUAACAACACCAUGGAAGUCUCAUCAGGCUCAAACCCACCAUCCCACAUCCUGAAAAAAUACACAAUCCCCUCACCCAACCAAAGACUCUCAACACAGGCAGUGAUAACGGAGUUCCAAGAAACAACUGUUCUCUCAGGCAUUUCAUCAAACACCUUGAUUGCAUCCACAAUCUUCUUACAACGCCCGUAAAAGUUAAUCAAAUUGUUACCAACGUACACGUCAGAGUCCAAACCACACUUAAAAGCGUCCGCAUGAACCUGUCUCCCUUCACCAAGUGCAGAAGCCACAGCACAAGACUUAAUGAGGAAAGGGAAGGUGAGUUUGUUAGGCAUGGCGCCACGUUCUCGCAUUUUCCGAAAUACCAAGACGGCUUCAAGGGGGUAAUCGCUCACGGCGUAGCCUCGGAUGAGAAUGUUCCACGAAAUGGGUGAUGAGGUGGCAGCGUCAUGCACGAGUGCGCACGCGUGGCGGAGGUUCUUGGAGGGAGAGAGGGAGCAAAAGUAGACGAGUUCUGAGAGAGUGUGUGUGUCUUGGUAGAGACCAGAGAGGUGGAUUUGUGCCUGGAUUUGACGGAGUUGGUCCAUAGAACCACACGAGUUUAGGAGAAAGAGACAUUCGUGCUUCUUCGAGAAGAACUGUGUGUUCAAUGUCGGAAGACGAACCAUGCAUGCAUUCGGCUUUCAACUGUUAGCAUCUGCCUUCUCCUUUGUUAGUGUUCACAUAAAACUUUUAACUACUACACUAACAAAGUUAGUAACAUAUAAGAAAACUUAAGCAAAUUAAUUCAUGCAUAAAUGUGAAGAAGCUAAUUUUCAUUUUCUCUUAUUUUUUUUAAAAAAACAAGCAGGUUAAUAGAACUUGAACAGACAGAUUGGAUACAUGAAAGGUACACUAAGUUCAUUGGAAAAGGGAGAAUAGGAAGCUUUCUUUUCUUGUGGAUAGUUGUAUAUAUUUUGACCUUUCAUUUAGUGACCAUUUCCUGUUUUGACCAUUCUUCUUUGAGAAUCUAAGUAAGAAUGUAGUACCUUAAGGGAAGAAUUUUCAUGGCUUUCUAAACAUUUAAUUUAAUCUAGAAUCUAAAACUCUCGAGUAAGAAAUAUAUUUAUUGCAGAAAUACUACAUAAGAAAGUAAGAAGAACUAAGUGCUAUUAGCUAUGUUACUCAAACUUGCCAUUUGUUCAUGAUUGUUGUGUAAGAAAUUAUGUAAAUUAAUUUCUAUAAAGUGACUCACAUUAUUUAGAGUUUGGGCUUUGAGCCCAAAUAUGAUUUAAUAAUAAUAAUAUAAUAAAGACCCAUUGGUUAAUGUGAAAAAUAUAUAUCUGAUGAUAUACCUAUUGGAAAACCUAAUCUGAUGGAGAUUGUGUACUAAAGGCUAUAGGGUUCUGUCUCUGCAAAUAAUAGUUGUCUCACUGUUAACCAUCACGAAAAGUGUGUGUGUGACAAUCAAGGUAAGUGCUUAUUCCUUUUUGAUUAUAUGAUUGUGUGAGAAUCAUGAUAUGAUAAAAUCUAUAUGUGAACACAUUAUUGUAUGUGUUCAAUUUACGUUUAUUCAUGUUUUGACUUACGUGUUGUUCAUUAGAAUUUGAUUCUUUACUAGUAUUAACAUGUUCUCUUUGUAUUGAAACUCCUAAAAUGACUCCAUACAUAUUGCUUGACUUGUUCUAUAGGACAGAGACUAGUGAAAAGCAUGGGACGCCUUUUUGCCAAAGUGGUGAUAGAACCAUGCUUGCUACAUGGAGACCUCUGGAGUGGAAACAUUAGCUCUAACAGAAAUGGAGAGCCUGUCAUAUUGGACCUUGCAUGUUAUUGUAAGUCAAGCAAUUACAGAAAGGUGUUGUAUUCUAUGACAGCUAAAGUUUGGAACCAGAUUAACAGUUGAAAUUCGUUGUCAGGGUUAAUUUAACUCACAACAACAAAAGAGUUGUACCAGAGGAACACACAUAAGCACAAAGGCAAAAGUAAGAGGGUCUAGUGAAUUCAGAAAAUUGUAACUUUUGAUAUAUGCGGUUCACAAUAUAAUUGCCUGUCAAAAUAGUUGAAAUAAAUUAUAAGUUGCUGAAGAGUAGACUUCUAAAUGAGUUGUAAUGCCAUGUCUCUCGGUGAACUUUUUCAAAGCCAUUUUAUUACUGUGCGUGGCCCAAAAUUUUAGCCUAAUUUAAAUAUUUUAUCAAUCACAUUUUGGAAGACCUUUAUUAAGGAUGGGAAGUUGGAACAGCUGAAUUAAGUUGCAUCCCCAGAAUUCUUAGGUGCCAGCUAGGUCUUCUAAAUUUUGCCAUAGUGGGGCUAAUGCAAGACUAUAAUAAUCAUACCAGCUUUGGUAAAAAAAAAGGGUUGAGUUGUGGCUUCUGUUGUUUGAUUCUGCAAAUGGACACAGUGAAGCAGAAUUCGGUAUGUCUUGGUGUGCAGGCUUUUGAGGCUCAUUCUAUGAUUCUUAUUUUAAGGUAACACUGUUUACUGAUAUAUGGUAUAAAUGAUUCAUAAUUAUCUUACACCACAUUUUCUCUCAUUGUGGAUUUCUUUCUGUUUUUCUCAGUCCAACCAAAUUGCGUUUUGUCAAUUAACAUCUAUCAAAGUCAGUUAUAUGGUUCUUUUGUGAACUUUCCCCUCAGUAAAGUGAAUAUGUAUUUAGCUUUUCAAUCAAACUAGUUUCUAUCUCGAUAUAAUUGCCAUGUUUCAAAUAAACACGAUCUUGGUAUUGGGUUGGCAUGUGAAAUGUUGGUUUCAUAACAAUAUUUUUCUACUGUCAAAAAGCAACAUUUUUCUGAUAACAUUUUUAAAUGAUAUCUUCAGGUGAUGCCUAAACAACCAGGCUUUGAGGAGAGGAAAGACCUUUAUAUGCUGUAUCACUAUUUAAAUCAUUAUAAUCUCUUUGGUUCUGGAUAUCGAUCAUCUGCCAUGUCUAUAAUUGAUGAUUAUCUUGCAUUUUUAAGUGCUUCUUAGGAUUAAUUGGUGCCUAAAUAAGUGAUUUAAAUCAUUAUUAUCUUGCACUUUUAAUGUACAACCUCAAGGUUCUGUUUGAAUGAGGUUGAACAUUUGUCUGCAUUACAUUUCCUCCAACCACCUCAUUCAAUGAAAUGGAGAUAUUCAUGUAUUGUAUAUUCCAUGUCUUUCUUUUAUGUCCCUCAGUCCUUGAUUCUGUAGUAUCUUGUUAUUAAAUAAUCAAAGUUUUAUUGCCACACACACCUUCUACUCAAUCCAAAAAUGUUAUAUAUUAUCUAGUAUGAAAUAUAGUUUUGGAAAGGUUAUUUUGGAUGAAACAAAAUCGUAUUUUCGGAUGCACUCUUCUCUUGAAGAUAUUCAACAUAUUCUGAAAGGAUGAGAUUUUUUUUAUUUAAAUAAUGAACAAUAAUAUUUUAGUAAAUGCCACUAAAUAACAUCACAAUGUCAUGCUAUAAAGAAAAUGUAUAAAAGCAAAAUUAAUAGAACCUAUGGUUAGUCUAAAUGUUUACUAGGCCUUUGAAUUCUAGUAGUGUUUCAUCAUUUAACUUACAAAAUUUCUUGAAACAUUUUUCAUUCAUUUCAGAAAGGAUUAUUUUAUUAAAAAUAUAUUCCAUAAUUAAUGAGAGAUUGUCUUAUAAACUUCUAGAUGCAUAAAGUUGAACCCCAAUUCUAGAUUUGUCAUAAAGGCUAGGACCAUCUUCAUCGUUAACAUAUAUUUUUGUACGUAUUAAAAAAGUCUAAAUUGCUUAUAAAUUAAAUGUUUGGAUUGUAAAAUUGAAAAAUAUGUUUUAAAUAAUACACUUUAAAAUAUAUUUUUGAAUUCAGAAAUAAAUUCUAGAUUACACGAUUACGAAGUCUAGAGUAAUCUUUGAAUUGUAUAGUAUAAAAUAAAAUAUAUUUUAUAAUUCUGAAUUACAGAUAAAUUUUUUAAUUAUAGAGAACCUCUACAAUUAUGAAGGAGCAUAAAGAAAGUAUGGUACUUAAAUUUAAUUCUUCAAAGUUUCAUAAGGAUUAUCUACCUUGUGAAAUAGAUUUAAAAUUCUUAGUUAAAAUCUGUUAUACUAAUUUAUUAAAUUGUAAAAUUAUAAGUGUUAGAUGAAAUAAACAUAAAAAUAAUAUCUACAAGUAAUAAAAGACAGAAUGGAAUAAUAAAAUCCUAUCAAGGUAAAACAAAAGUAAAAUGUAUAUUUAAUAAACACUUAGAAAAAAGAAAUACAGGUAUGAAACCCAAGUCUUCAUUUGAAAUAGCAUUUCAGAAAAUGCUUCAAGAAAAUAAAAACAAGUUUAUCAUUAAAGAUAAUUAAUAUGGUCGAUCAAACAUUUCAGAUAGUGAAGCCUACAAAUUCUCAAACAUACUAAAAUGAAAAUGAGUAUGACUUCUGAUAAGACAAUUCUAAAUCCAAAAGUACAAAAAAGACCUAGAAAUCAUCAUAUAAACUCUAUUUUCUUCAAGUCCUCCACAGCUUCAAGCAACAGCAUUACUCAGCAAUUCUCUACACAAGUCAACAAAAAGAAAAGGAUAAGAAAGGAGAAUAGCCUAAAUGAUAAUAGGAACCAAAGAAAAUGUAAUAUCAUGAAGAUACAUGCAUAUUCGUACCAGGGAUUAUACAUUGAUAAGCAGAUGUUUAAAUCCUCAUCACUAGACUUCCGAGUUCCAUUUGGAGGAUAAAAAAUUUCAUCUGUUUUGGCCCCAGAAAUGCCAUGUUCUUUUCCAUCUGAUGGUAGAAGAGGAAUGGGAAGUGGUGGUGGAAAUUGUUGGCACAUCUUGAUGCAUCGAAUUAAAUUCAUUGAGAUCACUUUGUGUGGUCAAAUUUCAAGAACCAGAUCAAGGUCCAAAUACAUGGUGUGGCACUAGCAUUAAAUAAUAUCACCUAAAUGAGAAACCAAAUAUCAAACACUUAUGUAUGGACUCAUCACUUCUAAUCUUCACCCUAAUUGUUGGCAGAGGUCUGACCAUAGGUGAAACCUCAAAACUCUUACCACUUCCUCUAUAGGCGGGGUGCUAAAUUAGAAAUAUGUCAUGGUGGAGAUGAACCCAACCUCUUCCACUGAGAAUUUCCAUUUCUGUAUGGUAAGACCAUGAAAUUAGAGAGUAGCAUUAUCUGAUGAAACUGAAGCACUCAUACUAAGUUUUAGUUAUUUUAAAACCUUUUUCAACCGUGGCCAAAUAGCUAGAAAAUAGGUUGAAUGAUUUGUUGACAGGGUGCAAAUUCUCUUUGACCUGCUGGCUUAGAUAUCUACAGUUUGAUCCAAAUUGCUAAGCUCUGUUAUCAUCAUUCAUAGAUACCAAUAAAAGUUAGUGGUGGGAUUAAACUUUACCACACUUCAAUCCCACUAUUUAAUUGGCCCUCGCCCAAUAUUAUGGCUUAAGUUUUUCAAUGAACAAUCUUCUGAUGAUUAAAAGUUCUCAGUCAACAACAACAUGAAAUAUAAAGCUCAAUAUCUCAUAUUUUAUGACAGAGCUACCAUUACUUGUAGAAAUACUAAACUCUACAAUUUUGUAAAAGCAAUGCCAAUGCCAGUAACUCAGUUGACCGUGACAUGAUUGGUUGGGAAAUUAAAAAACAACCUAGCAACCAUGUAAAGUUUCAAUAUCAAAACUAAUUUUUUUGGUACAGAUCGUAUCAGAACUAACACUAAAAGCAAUAAUUUGACAACUUUAUUUUAUCAUCACUGUACGCUUUUACACUCUUCUAAAUGUAAUUCCCUGGUUCUGGCUAUAUAAAAGACAUACAGUAUAAUCUGGAUAUUAGUUUUAGAUGGACAAGAUCAAGAACUUGAAGACUAAGAAUAACUGUGAUAUCAAAAAGAGAAAAUUAUAUCCAAACUUGACUAAAAAAAAUAAAGACAGAAACCGGUAAAAUAAUUGGAUCUUGCCUUUGAAAGGCAUCUAGAACAGGGUAAAGAAACCUGGUAUUUGAUUACAUGCAUUAACUAGCCUAAGAUCUAGUAUAACAUAAUUAUAAAAAAAAAUACUGUUACUUGUUAACGUUUCUCCUAAACUCCUAAUGGUACUAGGAGAUCCAAAGCACAACAAGAGUUAGAUAAAAGGAAACACUUCACACGUUUUGAAAGGUUAGAGCUUGAGACUUUCCUUGUUUUUCAUAUCCUUUUGAGACCCACUGCCUUCACUGUCAAAGUUCUUGGAUAGUUCUUCUCUUUGUUUUCACUGACUUGGGUUGGAAUCUUGUCAUGUUUAUCUGGUUACUUCUUGAUGCUGAUUUUUCAUUUUCUUGGGAAGCAUAGUUGAACUCUUUCUUGUUUCCAAAAAUCCUUCAUGUCCUGCAAAUUUAAAGGACCAAAAAAUACUUUUAG